AGAGCGUUCAAGGAAGAAUUGGGAAUUAACCAAACAAGUUUAAAUGUUGAGGUUAAGACCUUGUUUUUGAGUAAACAUUAAGUAUUAAAACCUUACAAAAAUGGGAUUAAGUACAAAUGUGUAUUAAUGCUGAGGUCCACAGUGUUCUGAAUUUUUGGUGAAAGUUAUGAAUCUACAAAAACAUGCAUGAAAACACAAGUCCAAAGAUUUCCUAUGAGCAGGCUUUAUUUGUAUGUGUAAUAUUUUGCUUUUUUGUUAUAUUCUAUAUCAUUUUUAAUGUCAUUUUAUUUUUCCUUAGUCACAUUGGCAAAUGAGGAAAAGAACAACUCCCUUUUAACACGAAUAAGUCUCCAGCAGAACCAGGUUAAGACCGUGCUGACCAUGAGUGGACCUUCCAGUGAUGCUGAGGGAUGAUAUGAUAAAAGGUACCCUGGGUGGUAUACUAUACACUGCAGGUAUUUUGUUGUUAGAGUUAAAUUUCCUAAAGUUUUACAAAAUGUAUGUAUUUUUACUGGAUACGAUGUCUGGUAUUAUUUGUACGGGUUCAGCUUUACUGCACUGGUGUCGUACUUUAAUGAUGUCGAGGUAAACUUGCUAGUUGCAGGAAUGUCUUAAAAUGCCAACAGUUAACUGGAGGUAAACAGUUCAUACACUUAAAGGAAUAAUUCACUUUAAAGUUAAAUUCAGUCAUUGCCUACCCACCCUCAUGCUGAUAAGAAGUCUGAUGUAGUUUUUUAAUCCACAAAACACUGGAGUUAUAGAGCAAAACAGUGUUCAGGAUUUUUUUCCAAAACAAUGGAAGUAUAUACAGAUCAGCAAUAAAACAUAAUAAAACACUCCCCUCCUCUACAGACCUGCAUUGUUUUGGAAAAAUCCUGAAAGCUUAGUGUUUUGUGUGUUUAAAAAAACUACUCUGGACUUCUUGUCAGCAUGAGGGUGAGUAGAUAAUGAAUAAAUUCUCUUUUAAAGUGAACUAUUUCUUUAAGCAAUAUUUAAAUAAUGCAUAAUUCAUAAUGAAUGCACUAAUGAAGGAUGAACGAUUCCUGUUGCCAAACUUAAUGUGAUUUGUUCACACUUAGUAGAUCAUCAUUCAAGGACUAUUAGUCCAGUUACUUCAUAUGUUGACUGAUAUUUGACAAGAUUAGCAGGAUUUCUUGGGCUUUAGUAUCAGCACAUCUUUUGUAUCCCUAUACCUUGGACUCAUCCCUGAUGGACUCAGCAGAGAGGACGUAUACCUUCUAAAGAUUUUAUUGGUUGCCAGUAAGAAGGCCAUCACAAAUCUAUGGCUUCAGAAAAGAUGCCCCAAUGUUGUUUUAUUUGUAGACAUUGUUAAACAGUUGCAUUUCAUGGAACAGAUGACAUAUUCAAUAAGAUUACAAAAAGAACGAGGUGAAAGGCGUUGGGAAAAAUGGUGCAAAUAUUUAGCCAAUGGUAUUGCAGAAUGUGAAAUGGUAAUUAACUACAUGAACUCUGGGACCUGGGCAUUUAUUGUUGCGUUUGUCUGUAUGAUUUAUGUUGUUGUUAUGUUGUUCUAAAUCAUAAAAAUUUAUACAUAAAAAUUGGUUAAAAAGAAUAGAAUAGCAGGAUUUUUUUUUUUUAGUAUAAAAGUUGACGGGCAAUACCUUAAUUUCCAUUAAAACUUCAGAGAGAAUAGAUCUGAUUGUAUUUUUGGAGAGAUUUGCAACACAGUAGGUGGAUUAUGAUAUGAUCAGACAUUUUUAAGCCCAGCAGUCUCAACCCUAAGCCUUGAGUGUAAAGAACAUUUAUUUUCUAACAAAAUAAUACCAUCAGGUGUCCAACAAAUUCUAUUAGGCCUAAUGCCAUAAAGAUUCAGAUGUUGUCCAUAAACCUUUAUACUAAGGAAAUCAAGCUGAUGUUGUAAAAUAUCAAUUAACAUAUGAAGUACCUGUGAAUUAAUAAUCCUCAAUUUAGGAUCUAUUAAGUGUGAAUUAAUAACAAAGUCAUAAUGGCUUUAUAACCUGUUAACUGUGAGCAACAUGAAUUGUCUGUCUUUAUUAGUGCAUUAGUAAUUCAUCGUGAAUUAUGCAUUAAUUAAACAUUCCUUAAGGCUAUGACUUGUAUCCCUCGAGUAGUGUUACCUUCAUAAAAUUCUGUGCAGUCACAGAGAUAGUAUAUCCUUCAGAUUUAUGAUACAAGACUUUAAAUUUUUGCUCCUCUUCAGGGAUGAUUAUAUUUUGAUGAUGUGAAAAUGUUAGGAACUGGGGGUGGAGAACCCAAGCGCAGGCACAAACAGACAGGCAGCUGGGUAUAAUAAUAAAUAAGGUUUAUUAAUCAAACAAAACUACAAACUGAAAACGGGACUGAAGUGGCAAAAGGGAAACUAAACGGCAGGAAACAACAGUGCUACAGAGGGAUACUCACACAUGAGGGAACAAGUGACUAAAGCAAAAGAACAAGCUGAGGUCCAAACAAACUACUGAGUCCAGAGGGAUAAUCCACAAAGGGGAGGGAAGCGGAGAAGUCCAAAAACUGAAGUAAUCCAGAGAGUAGUGAAAGCAGGAGAGCGACGACCGAAACAGCGUGUGUGUGUGUGUGUGUGUGUGUGUGUGUGUGUGUGUGUGUGUGUGUGUGUGUGUGUGUGUGUGUGUGUGUGUGUGUGUAUGAAUUGAGGUUUGGUUAGGGUUAGGGUAAGGAUUAAGUUUAGGCAAUCAGUUGUGAUGGUUAAGGUUAGGGUAAGGCUCUAGGAAAUGCAUUAUGCCUAUGGAUGUCCUCACUAAGAUAGAAGUACAAACAUGUGUGUGUGUGUGUGUGUGUGUGUGUGUGUGUGUGUGUGUGUGUGUGUGUGUGUGUGUGUGUGUGUGUGUGUUCUUGUACUUGCUACAUGGUGAGUACCAUUUUCUGCAUUUAACUAUCAAAAUGAGGACAUUUUUACAAAGUGAGGACAUUUUGACCGGUCCUCACUUUGAAACAGCCAUGUUUGAGGGUGAAGACUUGUUUUUAGAGAACAGGUAUGAAUUGAGGUUUGGUUAGGGUUAGGGUAAGGAUUAAGCUUAGGCAAUCAGUUGUGAUGGUUAAGGUUAGGGUAAGGCUCUAGGAAAUGCAUUACGCCUAUGGAUGUCCUCACUAAGAUAGAAGUACAAACAUGUGUGUGUGUGUGUGUGUGUGUGUGUGUGUGUGUGUGUGUGUGUGUGUGUGUGUGUGUGUGUAUAACAAUGAGCCAGCGAAGAACUGAGGGGAAAGGCAGUGCUUAAAUAGCAAGGCAGGGGACCAGGUGAAAUGAGUUGAGCUUGAUUGCAUCAGCUGACAGAACACAGUAGGCAGGGUGCAGCAGACAGAGGGAGCCAAAGGAAUAAAACAACAAAAGGGAGACUGGGGCAGAAUCCUCACAGAAAAGGAUAUGCUGUAUUUAAACUGAUAUCAUUUUGUGGUUAGAUUUGUACCUAAAAGUUUACUUAAAUUUUCUCAAAUUAAAAGUUUCUUGGAAAAUUGUCUGUUAUAGUUUGUCAGUAAAACGUGUGUUCAGCUUACUACACGGGGUUCAAAAUUGGAACAGUUUCAGAGUGAACUUGUGGACAUUUCUUGCUCGAUGUUCUUUCAGCCAUAGAUAUUUUGUGAUAUAUAAAACUUCAAAUAUUUGAUAUGUACAACCUCACAAAUAUCAAAUAAAGAGUUUAUAUAUUUGAAAGUUUUAA
Molecule: long non-coding RNA, 3653 nt
Organism: Acanthochromis polyacanthus (spiny chromis)
Lineage: Eukaryota; Metazoa; Chordata; Actinopteri; Pomacentridae
Exons: 2
Source: RefSeq, a predicted model, not a curated record